This 251-nucleotide ribosomal RNA is filed under the name uncultured bacterium. Its description in RNAcentral is "partial 16S ribosomal RNA". It matches the Rfam family "Bacterial small subunit ribosomal RNA", at positions 525 to 775 of the family's 1533-position model. The record is from RNAcentral.
ACGUAGGUGGCAAGCGUUGUCCGGAUUUACUGGGUGUAAAGGGUGCGCAGGCGGGACUGCAAGUUGGAUGUGAAAUACCGGGGCUUAACCCCGGAGCUGCAUCCAAAACUGUAGUUCUUGAGUGAAGUAGAGGUAAGCGGAAUUCCGAGUGUAGCGGUGAAAUGCGUAGAUAUUCGGAGGAACACCAGUGGCGAAGGCGGCUUACUGGGCUUUAACUGACGCUGAGGCACGAAAGCAUGGGUAGCAAACAG